UGGGGAAUUUUGCACAAUGGGGGAAACCCUGAUGCAGCGACGCCGCGUGAUUUAGAAGGCCUUCGGGUUGUAAAAAUCUUUUCUAUGGGAAGAAAAUGACAGUACCAUAGGAAUAAGGACCGGCUAAUUACGUGCCAGCAGCCGCGGUAAUACGUAAGGUCCGAGCGUUGUCCGGAAUCAUUGGGCGUAAAGGGUACGUAGGCGGGUAAGCAAGUUAGAAGUGAAAUCCUGUAGCUCAACUACAGUAAGCUUUUAAAACUGCUCAUCUUGAGAUAUGGAAGGGAAAGUGGAAGUCCAUGUGUAGCGGUGAAAUGCGUAGAUAUAUGGAGGAACACCGGUGGCGAAAGCGGCUCUCUGGUCUGUAACUGACGCUGAGGCUCGAAAGCGUGGGGAGCGAACAGG
This 402-nucleotide ribosomal RNA is filed under the name Bacteroidota bacterium. RNAcentral's name for it is "Bacteroidetes bacterium partial 16S ribosomal RNA". It matches the Rfam family "Bacterial small subunit ribosomal RNA", at positions 355 to 776 of the family's 1533-position model. Lineage: Bacteria; Pseudomonadati; Bacteroidota. The record is from RNAcentral.